GACGAACCGUGCGAACGUUGUUCGGAAUCACUGGGCUUAAAGGGCGCGUAGGCGGGCCGUCCAGUCGGGGGUGAAAGCGUUCGGCUCAACCGGACCAGUGCCUCCGAUACUGACGGUCUUGAGGGGGGUAGGGGCCUGCGGAACUUCCGGUGGAGCGGUGAAAUGCGUAGAUAUCGGAAGGAACGCCGGUGGCGAAAGCGGCGGGCUGGACCCCAUCUGACGCUGAGGCGCGAAAGCCAGGGGAGCGAACGGG
This 253-nucleotide ribosomal RNA is filed under the name uncultured prokaryote. RNAcentral's name for it is "partial 16S ribosomal RNA". It matches the Rfam family "Bacterial small subunit ribosomal RNA", at positions 524 to 776 of the family's 1533-position model. The record is from RNAcentral.